Bos taurus (domestic cattle) is the source of this 1518-nucleotide long non-coding RNA. NCBI's taxonomy places the organism in Eukaryota, Metazoa, Chordata, Mammalia, Artiodactyla, Bovidae. The record is from Ensembl.
GUAAAGAACAGAUGUCAACCUACGGCUGCUGCUUCCAGUGGGCCUUGCCAGGUGAGUGCAAAGGUGGGCCUCGCCCAGCAGUGCCUGCUCUUUCCUGCCCUCUGCUUCCAUAGUUUCUCUUUCUUGGACACCCACCCACUGGGAAGCCAACAUGGAGGGCCGCUCAAGGGUGGGCCACAGUGACAGCAUAAUGGGGCGGGGUGGCGUGGAGCUGGAUGCCCUCAGCUGCCCUCGCCACACUUCUGUAAAGUCCACUCGCAGCUUUUCUCCUCUGCACCCAGCCCCACCCACCACUUCCUCCCUGAGCUCACAAGCUACUUCCCUCUGCAAGCACUGGGUGACUGUCACCCCCACAGCAGGAAUUGCAGGUCCUGGAGAGACAAGCUCACGAGGAAAUGGUGACCCACUCCAGUGUUCUUGCCUGGAGAAUCCCAGGGACAGCGGAGCCUGGUGGGCUGCCGUCUAUGGGGUCGUACAGAGCUGGACACGACUGAAGUGACUUAGCAGCAGCAACGGGUCCUAAUGGACAGAAAGGAGAUGGGAAAGGAGGAAAAAGAGAAGAUCGGAGGAUAAAAGAAGAGAAAACUCUUAGGAGACCCGGCUGCUUUCAUGCAAGGCCCGAGUUACAGAGAUGAAGAGGAUGCAUUCCGUGCCCUUGGGUUAGAGCCUAAGAGAAGACUCAGGAAGGCAAUCUCAUUCUUCAGCGUGACAGUGAUCGCCACCUAACUUGUCGAUGACUCUGAAAUCUCUCACCUCAAACCCCAGCAUCCACCUGUCCACUAGCCACCUCUAUCUGGAAACCACUCAGGACACAGACUAGCAGGAGCAGCUGUUGCCUAAGCACACUGGGCAAGUGUUUGCAUGGGGGACUGUGCAUGAAGCUGUAACUCCAGGCUGGUAACUGUUCGAUAAGACACACAACUGAUGCAUCUAAGUGAGUCAUUAUCUUCCCAAGCACUCAUCUUGGUCGUUUCAAAUGCUGUCCAAAACUUGAAACUGGAUGCAAGGUUGGAACUGCGGCUCACUGAGCCUGAAGAGCACCCUCUCUGGGGGUGGGCACAAACAAUGGAAAAGAUUAAAAGAAAGGUGAUUUGGAUGUUACGACUACCCAGGGAACUGAGACUGAAGCAACUGUGCCAAGCAAGAGUGGACUAUAUAGAUGUAAAAUCCUAAUGUUACAUGACCUUUCUGUUUAACUUUCAAGUGAGCAGCACACUGCAAUAUCAUGACAGGAUCAUCGCUGUUGACCAGGAAGCUGUCUACAAGUAGUCAGAUGAGAAUGGAGAAAUUACAGAUACCACUGUCUUCAAUUAAAAUUUCUUCUUCCUGCUCUGAAAAUAAGUUUUCAUAUUUUAAAGGAAAAGUGCCAGAUCUGUGCUCCCUCAGUUCCAGCUACGGCACGCCAUGCACAUGCACCAAGUCCAUCCUGGAACCCAAGGGAAAUGCUUUGCUCUCUUUCAUCCAACCAAUCAUUUAUUCAUCAACCACCUAUUUUUAUCCUACAUACCUGUCAAGAUC